Pseudomyrmex gracilis is the source of this 528-nucleotide long non-coding RNA. RefSeq lists it as uncharacterized. The record is from RefSeq and is a predicted model, not a curated record. The transcript is spliced from 2 exons. NCBI's taxonomy places the organism in Eukaryota, Metazoa, Arthropoda, Insecta, Hymenoptera, Formicidae.
UCAACAUGGCGUCUAGCAGACUAUUGGAGCCGAAGAGCAGCGAGUUUACGAGUUGACGACGUUCUGUUGAUCUUUCGUACAGGUCUUUAACCAACCGAUUAAAUUUUCCAUCUCCAAAAAAUGGCCGAAGGCGAAAAAGAGCUAACGGGUUUGGCAAAACAUUUUAAUAGCCAAACUAUGUACGGCCGAGCAAAUGUAACGAAGGCCACAUAUGUCGGAUUAGGAAUAAUCGCUCUGUACUUCGCAUUGAGGAAGAAGAAGAAGACGUAGUUCCUGAAUUAAGAUCGCAGUCAUGUUAUGUAAUAACCAAUACGUUUGGCCGUAUAAUAUUUUACAAAUUUCUUCAAAUAAAUAGUUAAAUGUUUCUUUUAUAAAUUUAUUUUGGUCGUUACUUAGUACUUGGUCUACUUUAUGUUGAUAUCACAUGUUAACGUAGACAACUAUCAAAUAGUGUCAUUAUGAACAAGUGCGAUCGGUGGAAAAAAAACAGUUUAACAUCUGUUAAUUUUCUGCUGAAAUAUAGAAUGU